This 373-nucleotide non-coding RNA is filed under the name Pan troglodytes (chimpanzee). Lineage: Eukaryota; Metazoa; Chordata; Mammalia; Primates; Hominidae. The record is from RNAcentral.
AUUUCUACGGAUUAAUUCAAUGGCAGCUCACUUUCUCCUUUUAUGAUCGGAUGUGUCCAAAAGUGAGGAAAAAGACAAUUGUCUACAAAGAAAGAGGCUGCCAAGUGGAGACAGAAAAGCAGUUAUGAGACUGAUGAUAGAUUCCAAUUUGUUAUCGUACACGGGUGCUCUAGAUUUUCCUAUCAAUAGAGGGCGUCCUCGAGUCAUUGCAAAUCCUGGUGUCGUUAAACGGAACUGUUCUUCAGAGGAAAAACUUCACCUCUAUAAGAAAGGAAGGAGGAAACCUGAACAGUACAUCCAGAGAAUCCAGCAAAGCAUACCACGGCAUGAACAUGCAAGUGGACAGAAUUAAAACACAUGCCAGAAACACUAA